CCUACGGGAGGCAGCAGUGAGGAAUAUUGGUCAAUGGGCUUACGCCUGAACCAGCCAAGUCGCGUGAGGGAAGACUGCCCUAUGGGUUGUAAACCUCUUUUGUCAGGGAGCAAUUGGCGCUACGUGUAGCGUUAUCGAGAGUACCUGAAGAAAAAGCAUCGGCUAACUCCGUGCCAGCAGCCGCGGUAAUACGGAGGAUGCGAGCGUCAUCCGGAUUUAUUGGGUUUAAAGGGUGCGUAGGCGGAAUGCCAAGUCAGCGGUAAAAUCGCGGGGCUCAACCUCGCUCCGCCGUUGAAACUGGCGGUCUUGAGUGGGCGAGAAGUAUGCGGAAUGCGUGGUGUAGCGGUGAAAUGCAUAGAUAUCACGCAGAACUCCGAUUGCGAAGGCAGCAUACCGGCGCCCAACUGACGCUGAAGCACGAAAGCGUGGGUAUCGAACAGGAUUAGAUACCCCUGUAGUC
This 460-nucleotide ribosomal RNA is filed under the name uncultured bacterium. RNAcentral describes it as "partial 16S ribosomal RNA". It matches the Rfam family "Bacterial small subunit ribosomal RNA", at positions 338 to 795 of the family's 1533-position model. The record is from RNAcentral.